AGUAACGCGUGGAUAACCUGCCUCACACUGGGGGAUAACAGUUAGAAAUGACUGCUAAUACCGCAUAAGCGCACAGUACCGCAUGGUACAGUGUGAAAAACUCCGGUGGUGUGAGAUGGAUCCGCGUCUGAUUAGCCAGUUGGCGGGGUAACUGCCCACCAAAGCGACGAUCAGUAGCCGACCUGAGAGGGUGACCGGCCACAUUGGGACUGAGACACGGCCCAA
This 225-nucleotide ribosomal RNA is filed under the name uncultured bacterium. RNAcentral's name for it is "partial 16S ribosomal RNA". It matches the Rfam family "Bacterial small subunit ribosomal RNA", at positions 109 to 334 of the family's 1533-position model. The record is from RNAcentral.